This is a long non-coding RNA of Pogona vitticeps (central bearded dragon), 2098 nucleotides long. The record is from Ensembl. Lineage: Eukaryota; Metazoa; Chordata; Lepidosauria; Squamata; Agamidae.
CAAAAUUUCCUGGCUAGGGCAUAUCGGGGAAUUGUAUGCAACGUUUCCAAGCUCUCCUUGUUCUCUAAUACAACCUAAUACAUCUUUUAUGAUUUCAGAAGAACAGGCAACCACGCAGAAUUCAGGGGCACCACAGUCCAAGAGAUCAAGGAAGUCUUUUCCCAAAUGGAAUCCAGGGAAUGGCUUGAGGAAACCCCAGAAUGACAAGACCUUCAGGUCCAUUGUGGAAGAGGCAGAGGCAAGUCUUCAGCAAAGUCCUGCUACACCUUCUGGCCGAAGAGAAAGUCACCCUGUCAGCAUCCUGGUCAAGUCCUGCCCUUCGGAGGCAACGUCUCCACAGUCUUCCUGUCUCUUCCAGGCAACCUCUGCUUUCCAAACAAUCUAUGCAGCUGGAAUAUCCCAGAGAGGGGCAACAAGGCCAAGCCAAGGGAGCAGAGAUAGUGCUACCAUAGCAACAAGAAGGAAAUCAGAUGAUCUCGUAACACAAUGCCAGAAACACAUCUUUAUCAACAGGGAAGAGAAGAUGGAGCAACUGGAACGCAUGGUCCUGGGUCUCCGUCAAGAAGUCCUCUCCUUGAAACAGAAAGUUCAGCGCCUAGAAGCUGCCUCUUUUAAGGAACCAGAACUUGGUUGCCAACCCUGUGAGGUGCCUGAACAUUUCAACGGGUACACCAAGGAACAACUCAAAGAGGCCAUUCGGUUUGACCAGAAAAUCAGCACGGCAAGUGUCAAAUUUUAUCUUCCUGGGCUCCAUGAGCACUGCAGAUGGAGACAGCAGCCCUGAAAUUAAAAGGCGCCUUCUUCUUGGGAGGAAAGCGAUGACAAAUCUGGACAGCAUGUUGAAAAGCAGAGACAUCACCUUGCCAACAAAAGUCCGAAUAGUCAAAGCUAUGGUUUUUCCUGUCGUGAUGUAUGGAAGUGAGAGCUGGACCAUAAAGAAAGCAGACCGCCGAAGAAUUGAUGCCUUUGAAUUGUGGUGCUGGAGGAGGCUCUUGAGAAUCCCCUGGACUGCAAGGAGAACAAACCUAUCAGUUCUAAAGGAAAUCAACCCUGAGUGCUCACUGGAAGGACAGAUCCUGAAGCUGAGGCUCCAGUACUUUGGCCAUCUCAUGAGAAGAAAAGAGUCCUUGGAAAAAACCUUGAUGUUAGGAAGGUGUGAUGGCAAGAGGAGAAGGGGACGACCAAGGAUGAGAUGGCUGGACAGUGUCUGCGAAGCAACCAACAUGAACCUGACACAACUCCGGGAGGCAGUAGAAGACAGGAGGGCCUGGCGUGCUCUGGUCCAUGGGGUCACGAAGAGUCGGACACGACUAAACGACUAAACACACAGGAGACCCCGAUGGUCUCUGCCACUCAAUCACAACGAAAACCAUGUGUAGUUCAGUCAAAGGCAGGAGGGAGAGUAAGGUGCGGUAAAUCCCUUAAACUGGCUAGCCUGUUUUCUCAGGUGCGUUAAAUGGUGAAAUCAGAAGCCAAAAGACGGAGGCAAUUCAUGGACUGAGCAGCAGGCACCUCACAUCAGAAUGGCAAGGUCUGUCCAAUCUGGCCUGCUCGUGUUCACCCCAUUGGUGAGCACUUGGCGCGAUGUAGAUACUGGCCAAAUUAGAACUGCUGAACCGUAGGCAGAGGGGGUGUACAUACGUAGCUGGGGAAAGCUCAUUUCUGAGACUAGCGCUUCCAAAAUGUCUCAGCCAGUAUGCGGUUGCACCUCUGUGUGAGCGGGGUCCAUAUUAUGCAUAAGGCAGCUGAGGCUGAAGCCUAGGGGCUCCAUGGGGACUAGGGGCCCAUCAAUUAUUUUGCUGAGGCAGAAGAUUGAAGUGCUGGAGGAGGUUCAAAAUACAGUACCUGGAAGCCUAGUUAAUACAGCCCUGGCAGGAUCACUGGGAUGAGCGACAGACACAGUGGACUAAGACCAGUGAUAUGACCCUGCUUGGCCUUCUGCAUGGGAUUACCUGUCACUGCUCCUGGACUCCGGAAUGCCUUUGGUAAGGCAGCGUGGCUGUGGGAUUGCUUUGAUCGCCGCAGGGCACAGCAAGAGGAGGGAAAGCAAAAAAAAAUUAUAAAUAAAUUAAAAAAUGACCUGAUGAAUGACGAAUUG